This 755-nucleotide ribosomal RNA is filed under the name Pseudomonas plecoglossicida. Its description in RNAcentral is "bacterial SSU rRNA". It matches the Rfam family "Bacterial small subunit ribosomal RNA", at positions 89 to 837 of the family's 1533-position model. Lineage: Bacteria; Pseudomonadati; Pseudomonadota; Gammaproteobacteria; Pseudomonadales; Pseudomonadaceae. The record is from RNAcentral.
GAUUCAGCGGCGGACGGGUGAGUAAUGCCUAGGAAUCUGCCUGGUAGUGGGGGACAACGUUUCGAAAGGAACGCUAAUACCGCAUACGUCCUACGGGAGAAAGCAGGGGACCUUCGGGCCUUGCGCUAUCAGAUGAGCCUAGGUCGGAUUAGCUAGUUGGUGGGGUAAUGGCUCACCAAGGCGACGAUCCGUAACUGGUCUGAGAGGAUGAUCAGUCACACUGGAACUGAGACACGGUCCAGACUCCUACGGGAGGCAGCAGUGGGGAAUAUUGGACAAUGGGCGAAAGCCUGAUCCAGCCAUGCCGCGUGUGUGAAGAAGGUCUUCGGAUUUGUAAAGCACUUUAAGUUGGGAGGAAGGGCAGUAAGCUAAUACCUUGCUGUUUUGACGUUACCGACAGAAUAAGCACCGGCUAACUCUGUGCCAGCAGCCGCGGUAAUACAGAGGGUGCAAGCGUUAAUCGGAAUUACUGGGCGUAAAGCGCGCGUAGGUGGUUUGUUAAGUUGGAUGUGAAAGCCCCGGGCUCAACCCUGGGAACUGCAUCCAAAACUGGCAAGCUAGAGUACGGUAGAGGGUGGUGGAAUUUCCUGUGUAGCGGUGAAAUGCGUAGAUAUAGGAAGGAACACCAGUGGCGAAGGCGACCACCUGGACUGAUACUGACACUGAGGUGCGAAAGCGUGGGGAGCAAACAGGAUUAGAUACCACUGGUAGUCCACGCCGUAAACGAUGUCAACUAGCCGUUGGAAUCCUUGAGA